CAAGGUCUGUCUCUCCAACGGGUCACAUGUACAGCAAGAGCAAGAGCAAGAGCAAGGUUUGAGGAAGACUUGAAACUGCUUGCAAGAAUUCCUGUUUUUCCCGAGCUGCUGGGAAGAACGGAAGAGAAGAAGAUGGAAGAGGAGGAGGAGGAGGAGGAGGAAGAAGAGGAGGAGGUGAAGAAGAAGAAGAAGAAGGAAGAGAAGGCGGAGGAAGAGGAGGAGGAGGAAGAGAGAGAAGACAAGGGGAAGGAAGAAGCAGCCAUCAGAGGAGGAGGAGGAGGAGGAGGAGGAGGAGGGAGGAAGAAGAGCCAGGUUUCGCUCCUCCACUGGGUCUCCUCAAAGGACCGAGAGAGUGACGUCCGGCAAAUCGCUCAGCAGUGCUUUCGAGGGCUCUCCCAGGCGCUGCUCAAGAACCAGGACCGGGCAGGCAAGGUGAACGACCCUUCCAUCUUCCCUGACCUCUGCACGUCGCACCGCAAGAACUUAAUGCACAUGUUGCGGAACCACCAGAAGUGGGCCUCGGAGCUCAGCAGGGACAGCAGGGAGGUGUGGCAGCGAGAGGUCGAAAGCAGGAGGGAAUUUCUGCUGGAUUUCUUGACCCAUUUCCUGGCCUCUCUUCCGCCCGAUUUCGCCACGAGACUCCCUGACAAUUUUGACAUCGCCCUGCCAAAGGUUCAGAGUGAGGGCAGUUCUUACCUCAAUGACCUCUCUCAAGUGUCUGCUACGAUGGUGAACCUCCUGCUCCAAGAGCAACUAGAAGGCAAAAUUAGAGCGAGAAUCGAGGAAGAGAGAGAGAGAAUCGAAGUAAGCUACGUCGAGCGAGAGAGGAGUGCUGUGGAGCAGGUGGAGCGAGCCCUUAGAGAGAGGUCAGCCUGAUAAAGAGGUAGAAAUUUUGGCCAAGGAGGUCCAGAAGUUGAUGCAGGAUGCCGAGGAUGACAAUGCCCGUGUUCUAAGGAGCGGGUCAACUCAUGACAGAGCUCCUCCUCCUCCUCCUCCUCCUCCUUCUCUCCCGCAUGAUAACAAAGCUCUGGAAAACGUCGAAAGGAAGAACCAAAGGAAGGAAGGAAGACCAUCUCAGAAGACCCCAGAGUCAGCCCCUACAGUCCAUCAUAGUCCAAGAAAUAGCUGAAGGAAGUCCCAAGUCCAAGCGACCUUCCUCUCUUUCUGAUUCAAGUCGUCUUUACCUUCAGCGAGGGGGCAAAGCGACCAUGGACCUCUCCCUUCCCUUCCCUUCCUUCCUUCCUUUCCCUUUCCUUCCCUUCCUUCCUUCCUUCCCUUCCCUUCCUUCCUUCCUUCCUUUCCCCUCCCUUCCUUCCCUUCCCUUCCUGUCCCUUCCCUUCCCUUCCUGUCCCUUCCCCUCCCUGUCAUCAGCCCCACUGUGUCUGCCAUCCAUGUCUUGCAGCAGGCCAGCCAUUCUGACUUCCUCUUCUUCCUUCCCAGCAAGCAGUCACUCUCCUCCUCAGCACAUGGCCCAGAAGCUUCACUUGUCCUAUGCUUUUCAUCAAGUGCCUGGCUGUCUGCUGCUGCUCUUUGUCAUAGAGUUAAGUUGUCAUUAUUUUAGUUAGUUAGUUAGUUGGAGGUCCAGAUAAUUGUUGUAUGGGCAAGACUCCUGUCCCUCCCUCUCCUUCCCUCCCUUCCUCUCCCUCUCCCCCAAGUUCCCAGUCUGCAGAGGUCCAGAUAAUUGUUGUAUGGGCAAGACUCCUGUCCCUCCCUCUCCUUCCCUCCCUUCCUCUCCCUCUCCCCCAAGUUCCCAGUCUGCAGAGGUCCAGAUAAUUGUUGUAUGGGCAAGACUCCUGUCCCUCCCUCUCCUUCCCUCCCUUCCUCUCCCUCUCCCCCAAGUUCCCAGUCUGCAGAGGUCCAGAUAAUUGUUGUAUGGGCAAGACUCCUGUCCCUCCCUCUCCUUCCCUCCCUUCCUCUCCCUCUCCCCCAAGUUCCCAGUCUGCAGAGGUCCAGAUAAUUGUUGUAUGGGCAAGACUCCUGUCCCUCCCUCUCCUUCCCUCCCUUCCUCUCCCUCUCCCCCAAGUUCCCAGUCUGCAGAGGUCCAGAUAAUUGUUGUAUGGGCAAGACUCCUGUCCCUCCCUCUCCUUCCCUCCCUUCCUCUCCACCUGUCCCCAAGUUCCCAGUCUGUGGAGGUCCAGAUAAUUGUUGUAAGGGCAAGACUCCUGUCCCUCCCUCUCCUUCCCUCCCUUCCUCUCCACCUGUCCCCCAAGUUCCCAGUCUGUGGAGGUCCAGAUAAUUGUUGUAUGGGCAAGACUCCUGUCCCUCCCUCUCCUUCCCUCCCUUCCUCUCCCUAAGUUCCCAGUCUGUGGAGGUCCGGAUAAUUGUUGUAUGGGCAAGACUCCUGUCCCUCCCUCUCCUUCCCUCCCUUCCUCUCCCUCUCCCCCAAGUUCCCAGUCUGCAGAGGUCCAGAUAAUUGUUGUAUGGGCAAGACUCCUUCCCUCCCUCUCCUUCCCUCCCUUCCUCUCCCUCUCCCCCAAGUUCCCAGUCUGCAGAGGUCCGGAUAAAUGUUGUAAGGGCAAGACUCCUGUCCCUCCCUCUCCUUCCCUCCCUUCCUCUCCCUCUCCCCCAAGUUCCCAGUCUGCAGAGGUCCGGAUAAAUGUUGUAAGGGCAAGACUCCUGUCCCUCCCUCUCCUUCCCUCCCUUCCUCUCCCUCUCCCCCAAGUUCCCAGUCUGCAGAGGUCCAGAUAAUUGUUGUAUGGGCAAGACUCCUUCCCUCCCUCUCCUUCCCUCCCUUCCUCUCCCUCUCCCCCAAGUUCCCAGUCUGUGGAGGUCCAGAUAAUUGUUGUAUGGGCAAGACUCCUGUCCCUCCCUCUCCCUUCCUUUCCAGUCUUUCUCUCUUGUUCCAUUAUUUAUUUUCUCUCCCUCCCUCUUUCUUUGCUCUCUCCCUUCUUUCAUCUCCUCUCCCUUCAGCCGUAUUAUCGUCUUCCUUCUAAUCCAUAGCAUUUUCUCUCUCCCUUUUACAUCUGCUUUAUUUCCUUCUCUCUCUCUCUCUCUCUCUCUCUCUCUCUCUCUCUCUCUCUCUCUCUCUCUCUCUCUCUCUCUCUCUCU
RNA transcript from Eriocheir sinensis (Chinese mitten crab), 3048 nucleotides. It is a transcript of the gene named FK506-binding protein 5-like, with no coding region annotated. The transcript has 16 exons. The record is from RefSeq and is a predicted model, not a curated record. Lineage: Eukaryota; Metazoa; Arthropoda; Malacostraca; Decapoda; Varunidae.